UGUGACCAAAUCAGGACGCUUAGAAUAUGGCCACUCGAAUGACUCAGCGCAGUAUGAAGUUUUUGUUUUCUUCCGAAAACAAGCUCAAUGAGAGCCAUCGGGGGUAGAUCUAUCUCAUGACGAGUGGUGGAAUACUUUGACUCAUGAGAGAGAAGUUGAGGCGAAGGCGUCUACCUAGAGGGUUUCUGUCGAUCAAGGGCGAGAGUAGGAGUAUCCAACAGGAUUAGAGACCCUGGUAGUUCCUACCUUAAACGAUGCCGACAGGAGUUUGUCAUUUGUUAAUGGCAGAAUCUUUGGAGAAAUCAUAGUUCUAGGGCUCUGGGGGAACUACGACCGCAAGGCUGAAACUUGAAGGAAUUGACGGAAGGGCACACCAGGGGUGGAGCCUGUGGCUUAAUUUGAAUCAACACGGGGAAACUUACCAGGACCAGAUGUUUUUUAUGACUGACAGGCUUCGGGUCUUUCAGGAUAUUGUUUUUGGUGGUGCAUGGCCGUUGGUGGUGCGUGGGUUGACCUGUCUAGCGUUGAUUCAGCUAACGAGCGAGAUUAUCGCCAAUUAUUUACUUUGCCGAAGUCCUUCGGUUAAAGUUCUAAUUGGGACUCCCUGCGAUUUUAGCAGGUGGAAGAGGGUAGCAAUAACAGGUCCGUGAUGCCCUUUAGAUGCUCUGGGCUGCACGCGUGCUACAAUGUUAGGAUCAAUAGGACUGCGAGCCUGAGAGGGUGCGCUACUCUUAUAAUCCCUAACGUAGUUGGGAUUGACGUUUGUAAUCAGCGUCAUGAACCAGGAAUCCCUUGUAAAUGUGUGUCAACAACGCACGUUGAAUACGUCCCUGCCCUUUGUACACACCGCCCGUCGCUCCUACCGAUUGGAUGACUCGGUGAAAUCACCGGAUGCUUACGAGCAGAAAGUGAUUAAAUCAC
RNAcentral lists this non-coding RNA (921 nucleotides) under Trichomonas vaginalis G3. RNAcentral's name for it is "Eukaryotic small subunit ribosomal RNA". It matches the Rfam family "Eukaryotic small subunit ribosomal RNA", at positions 756 to 1767 of the family's 1831-position model. Lineage: Eukaryota; Parabasalia; Trichomonadida; Trichomonadidae. The record is from Rfam by way of RNAcentral.